RNAcentral lists this transfer RNA (75 nucleotides) under Candidatus Methanofilum arcanum. RNAcentral's name for it is "tRNA-Pro". It matches the Rfam family "tRNA". Rfam says of the family: Transfer RNA (tRNA) molecules are approximately 80 nucleotides in length. Their secondary structure includes four short double-helical elements and three loops (D, anti-codon, and T loops). The record is from RNAcentral. Lineage: Archaea; Methanobacteriati; Methanobacteriota; Methanomicrobia; Methanomicrobiales; Methanospirillaceae.
GGGGUAAUAGGGUAGCCUGGUCCAUCCUAGAGCGUUUGGGACGCUUUGACUGCAGUUCGAAUCUGCGUUACCCCA